GUAUUUUCCAGAUUGAACACGAACACAUUUCUCCAUGUGAUCGGUUUGAAAAAUUCUUAAGAUACUUGGAAAUUUUCCUACUCUUCUUAACAUGAAACCAAUGGUAGCCUUAAUUCA
Octopus sinensis (East Asian common octopus) is the source of this 117-nucleotide long non-coding RNA. RefSeq lists it as uncharacterized. The record is from RefSeq and is a predicted model, not a curated record. The transcript has 4 exons. Lineage: Eukaryota; Metazoa; Mollusca; Cephalopoda; Octopoda; Octopodidae.